This 440-nucleotide ribosomal RNA is filed under the name uncultured bacterium. RNAcentral's name for it is "partial 16S ribosomal RNA". It matches the Rfam family "Bacterial small subunit ribosomal RNA", at positions 338 to 795 of the family's 1533-position model. The record is from RNAcentral.
CCUACGGGUGGCAGCAGUAGGGAAUUUUGCGCAAUGGGGGAAACCCUGAAGCAGCAACGCCGCGUGGAGGAUGAAGGUUUUCGGAUUGUAAACUACUUUUGUUAGAGAGGAUAAUGACGGUAUCUAACGAAUAAGCACCGGCUAACUCCGUGCAAGCAGCCGCGGUAAUACGGAGGGUGCAAGCGUUACUCGGAAUCACUGGGCGUAAAGAGCGCGUAGGCGGGAUUGCAAGUCAAAUGUGAAAUCCUAUGGCUUAACCAUAGAACUGCAUUUGAAACUGUUAUUCUAGAGUAUGCGAGAGGUAGGUGAAAUUCCUGGUGUAGGGGUAAAAUCCGUAGAGAUCAAGAGGAAUACUGAUUGCGAAGGCGACCUGCUAGAACAUAACUGACGCUGAUGCGCGAAAGCGUGGGGAGCAAACAGGAUUAGAUACCCUUGUAGUC